Non-coding RNA from Onthophagus taurus, 726 nucleotides. The record is from RefSeq and is a predicted model, not a curated record. Lineage: Eukaryota; Metazoa; Arthropoda; Insecta; Coleoptera; Scarabaeidae.
AAUAAUCGAUUUUUAAUUAAAUUAAUUUCUUCUUUUUUAAUAGAUAUUCGUAUUAUUUUUGUAAUAUGAGUUUUCAUUGUAAAUAGUAGCGUUUUUUACUGGAAUUAAUCUUUGAUGGAUUACGUGGACCUUUUUUUAAAUACUUAAAUAACAAAUAGAAUGGUAUUAAAAUAUAUCUACACUUAUCAACAAAAAAAAAAAUAAAUAAAUGUACCAUUACAGUUUAUAAAAUUGCGUAAUCUAAAUAAAUUAUACUAAAUAGUUAUGUUUUCGUAGUUUUUAUUCGACACCGAAACAAAAAAAUAAAUGCACAAACGCAGCAAAUAGAAGCACAAUUAGCGAGCUUACCCUGCGAGUCCUUUGAAGGAAUAUUAUUCCCCAGAAGUGAACAUCAUCUCACCAACUCAAGACAAAAUGACCAUCUUACAAACUGUACAAGUUUCGACGAAGAAAUUCGAUAAAAAUCAAGUUAGAUCUACACCUCGAUUAACGAGAACGCAAUCUUUAAGAAAUAAAAAAUCAUCGACUCCCAGAAAUAAUGAAUCAUCUUCCAAAAUACCGUGGAGGUUUUAAUUUCAACAAAACAAUAACAAAAAUAAAUUAGUAGAAAUUGUCUUAAAACGUAGGAUGGGUUAAAGAAUGUAUUAGAAAUCACAAAAUUAUCUAAAGUUAAUUGUUUGUAGAUUAAUCAUAAAAGGCACGUAAAUAAACAUAAUUUCGAAUUUU